This 1340-nucleotide ribosomal RNA is filed under the name uncultured bacterium. RNAcentral's name for it is "bacterial SSU rRNA". It matches the Rfam family "Bacterial small subunit ribosomal RNA". The record is from RNAcentral.
AUUCGAUUAGAGUUUGAUCAUGGCUCAGAACGUACGCUGGCGGCACGCCUAACACAUGCAAGUCGAACGAAGUAGCAAUACUUAGUGGCAGACGGGUGAGUAACAUGUAGGUAUCUGCCCUUUGGCCUGGAAUAACACGAGGAAACUUGUGCUAAUACCGGAUAAGUCUUUACGGAGAAAGCUUUAUGCACCAUUGGAUGAGCCUGUACUUGAUUAGUUUGUUGGUAGGGUAAUGGCCUACCAAGACUUUGAUCAAUAGCUGAUUUGAGAGGAUGAUCAGCCACAUUGGGACUGAGACACGGCCCAAACUCCUACGGGAGGCAGCAGUGGGGAAUCUUGCACAAUGGAGGAAACUCUGAUGCAGCGAUGCCGCGUGAGUGAAGAAGGCCCUUGGGUUGUAAAGCUCUUUCGUCGGGGAAGAAAAUGACUGUACCCGAAUAAGAAGGUCCGGCUAACUUCGUGCCAGCAGCCGCGGUAAUACGAAGGGACCUAGCGUGGUUCGGAAUUACUGGGCUUAAAGAGUUCGUAGGUGGUUGAAAAAGUUGGUGGUGAAAUCCCAGAGCUUAACUCUGGAACUGCCAUCAAAACUUUUCAGCUAGAGUUUGAUAGAGGAAAGCAGAAUUUCUAGUGUAGAGGUGAAAUUCGUAGAUAUUAGAAAGAAUACCAAUUGCGAAGGCAGCUUUCUGGAUCAUUACUGACACUGAGGAACGAAAGCAUGGGUAGCGAAGAGGAUUAGAUACCCUCGUAGUCCAUGCCGUAAACGAUGUGUGUUAGACGUUGGAAAUUUAUUUUCAGUGUCGCAGCGAAAGCGAUAAACACACCGCCUGGGGAGUACGACCGCAAGGUUAAAACUCAAAUGAAUUGACGGGGACCCGCACAAGUAGUGGAGCAUGUGGUUUAAUUCGAAGAUACGCGCAGAACCAUACCAACACUUGACAUGUUCGUCGCGACUUUAAGAGAUUGAAGUUUUCGGUUCGGCCGGACGAAACACAGGUGCUGCAUGGCUGUCGUCAGCUCGUGUCGUGAGAUGUUGGGUUAAGUCCCGCAACGAGCGCAACCCUCACUUUUAGUUGCCAUCAUUAAGUUGGGCACUCUGAAAGAACUGCCAGUGAUAAGCUGGAGGAAGGUGGGGAUGACGUCAAGUCCUCAUGGCCCUUACGUGUUGGGCUACACACGUGCUACAAUGGUAUCUACAACAGGAAGCAAAGCCGCGAGGUUAAGCAAAUCCUUAAAAGAUACCUCAGUUCGGAUUGCACUCUGCAACUCGAGUGCAUGAAGCUGGAAUUACUAGUAAUCGUGGAUCAGCGUGCCACGGUGAAUGCGUUCCCGGGUCUUGUAGA